AACGAACGCUGGCGGCGUGGAUAAGACAUGCAAGUCGAACGGAUCAUUCAUUGUAGCAAUACAGUGGGUGGUUAGUGGCGUAAGGGUGCGUAACACGUGGGCAACCUGCCCGGAAGAGUGGGAUAGCUCGCCGAAAGGCGAAUUAAUACCGCAUGAGGCUAGGGAGGACAUCCUCCUGAGGCCAAAGUUGGUGAAAGCUAACGCUUCUGGAUGGGGCCCGCGGCCUAUCAGCUAGUUGGUGAGGUAACGGCUUACCAAGGCGAUGACGGGUAGCUGGUCUGAGAGGACGACCAGCCACACUGGAACUGAGACACGGUCCAGACACCUACGGGUGGCAG
RNAcentral lists this ribosomal RNA (338 nucleotides) under uncultured Verrucomicrobiota bacterium. RNAcentral describes it as "bacterial SSU rRNA". It matches the Rfam family "Bacterial small subunit ribosomal RNA", at positions 29 to 351 of the family's 1533-position model. Lineage: Bacteria; Pseudomonadati; Verrucomicrobiota. The record is from RNAcentral.